RNAcentral lists this transfer RNA (76 nucleotides) under Megasphaera elsdenii. Its description in RNAcentral is "tRNA-Glu". It matches the Rfam family "tRNA". Rfam says of the family: Transfer RNA (tRNA) molecules are approximately 80 nucleotides in length. Their secondary structure includes four short double-helical elements and three loops (D, anti-codon, and T loops). The record is from RNAcentral. RNAcentral also lists the same sequence under 6 other names. Lineage: Bacteria; Bacillati; Bacillota; Negativicutes; Veillonellales; Veillonellaceae.
GGCCCCUUGGUCAAGUGGUCUAAGACAUCGCCCUUUCACGGCGAGAACAUGGGUUCAAAUCCCGUAGGGGUCACCA